AAUCAGUACCGUGAGGGAAUGGUGAAAAGUACCCCGGGAGGGGAGUGAAAUAGUACCUGAAACCGUGUGCUUACAAGCCGUUGGAGCCUUUUGGGGUGACAGCGUGCCUUUUGAAGAAUGAGCCUGCGAGUUAGUGUUAUGUCGCGAGGUUAACCCGUGUGGGGUAUCCGUAGCGAAAGCGAGUCUGAAUAGGGCGUUUGAGUGGCAUGACCUAGACCCGAAGCGGAGUGAUCUAUCCAUGGCCAGGUUGAAGCGACGGUAAGACGUCGUGGAGGACCGAACCCACUUCAGUUGAAAAUGGAGGGGAUGAGCUGUGGAUAGGGGUGAAAGGCCAAUCAAACUCUGUGAUAGCUGGUUCUCCCCGAAAUGCAUUUAGGUGCAGCGUUACGUGUUUCUUGCCGGAGGUAGAGCUACUGGAUGGCCGAUGGGCCUUCACGGGUUACUGACGUCAGCUAAACUCCGAAUGCCGGUAAGUGAGAGCGUAGCAGUGAGACAGUGGGGGAUAAGCUUCAUUGNNNNNNNNNNAAGGCCCCUAAGCGUGUGCUAAGUGGGAAAGGAUGUGGAGUUGCUUAGACAACCAGGAGGUUGGCUUAGAAGCAGCCAUCCUUGAAAGAGUGCGUAACAGCUCACUGGUCAAGUGAUUCUGCGCCGAUAAUGUAGCGGGGCUCAAGUACACCGCCGAAGUUGUGGCAAUGACCCUUUGGGGUUGUUGGGUAGGGGAGCGUCGUGUAGCCGGUGAAGCUGCGGUGUAAACCAGUGGUGGAGGCUAUGCGAGUGAGAAUGCAGGCAUGAGUAGCGAAAGAUGAGUGAGAAACUCAUCCGCCGGAUGAUCAAGGGUUCCAGGGUCAAGUUAAUCUGCCCUGGGUUAGUCGGGGCCUAAGGCGAGGCCGACAGGCGUAGUCGAUGGAUAACGGGUUGAUAUUCCCGUACCGGUGAAAAACCGCCCAUACUGAUAUUGUGAUGCUAACCAUGCGAAGCAUGAUGUGCAGGCUUUUGUUUGUGUGUUGUGUGGGNNNNNNNNNNAGCGUGUAGGGUUGUCGGUUGUUAAAUGCGCCGGCUGUGUGCCUGAGACGUGAUGGGACCCCGUUUUUGGGGGAUUUGGUGAUCCUAUGCUGCCGAGAAAAGCAUCGGCGUGAGGUUUUAGCCGCCCGUACCCUAAACCGACACAGGUGAUCAGGUAGAGAAUACUAAGGCGAUCGAGAGAAUCAUGGUUAAGGAACUCGGCAAAAUGCCCCCGUAACUUCGGGAGAAGGGGGACCUUGAGCGUGAUGGGCACUUGCUGCCUGGAGCGUGUAUGGGUCGCAGAGACCAGGGGGAAGCGACUGUUUAUCAAAAACACAGGUCCGUGCGAAGUCGUAAGACGAUGUAUACGGACUGACUCCUGCCCGGUGCUGGAAGGUUAAGAGGAUUGGUUAGCCUCUUUUGGGCGAAGCUGAGAAUUUAAGCCCCAGUAAACGGCGGUGGUAACUAUAACCAUCCUAAGGUAGCGAAAUUCCUUGUCGGGUAAGUUCCGACCUGCACGAAUGGAGUAACGACUUCCCUACUGUCUCAACCAUGAACUCGGCGAAAUUGCAGUACGAGUAAAGAUGCUCGUUUCGCGCAGCAGGACGGAAAGACCCCGUGACCUUUACUAUAGUUUGGUAUUGGUGUUUGGUUUGGCUUGUGUAGGAUAGGUGGGAGACUGUGAAGCAUGGACGCUAGUUUGUGUGGAGUCGUUGUUGAAAUACCACUCUGGUCAAUCUGGAUGUCUAACUUCGGGCCAUGAUCUGGUUCAGGGACAGUGCCUGAUGGGUAGUUUAACUGGGGCGGUUGCCUCCUAAAGUGU
RNAcentral lists this ribosomal RNA (1825 nucleotides) under Porphyromonadaceae bacterium. RNAcentral's name for it is "partial 23S ribosomal RNA". It matches the Rfam family "Bacterial large subunit ribosomal RNA", at positions 493 to 2298 of the family's 2925-position model. The record is from RNAcentral. Lineage: Bacteria; Pseudomonadati; Bacteroidota; Bacteroidia; Bacteroidales; Porphyromonadaceae.